CAAAGCGGCGCCUUGUGGACGACAUCGACCCCACACACACACACACACACACACACAAAUUUCCGUUCAGAAUUAAGCUCAAUUUUAUUGGUGAACUUGAGAUCCUUAAUAAUGAAGAAGAUUCCAAGAUGUUGGACUUUGGCUCAGAAGGUUGUAACGUCACGUCCCAGAACCACAAAGUAGAAACUGCUGGGAUCUGGAGCAAGCCUGCCUGACGUUUUCCCCAUGACCAUGUAGUGGCUCGUUCAACCUGGAUAAACUCUUGCUGGGACACGAAUCACAGUUUACUUGUGGAGCCGUGCGAUAGAGCACAUGGAGACGUCAGUGUGAGUGAAGUAAAUCUGCAUACGCAUGGAGGCAUACUUCAACACAUAUUAUAAUACACCUUUUUAUUUUCUUUUUAACUAAGAAUGAGUGGUACUUCAAAGUUUAGUCCCCAGAGGGGCUUUUCAGCUCUUGUUAACCAUAAUCUCCACUUUUGCAUGUUAAACCCUCAGAUUAUUGCUCAUUCAUUUUGUAAACUUGUUAUUCAUUACUUACAAUGAAGUAUUCAGCAAGUGUAAUGAAACGAAUAGAAAAACAAAGUAUGUACAUAGAAGAGUAAAAGAUAAGAAGAGCAAGAGUCUCGGCACACUGACAGUUCCUGGGAAAUUCACUUCCUGUUUAGAUACAAUCGUUUAGAUAGACUAUAACGUUUUCAGUGAAAUCAUUUUACAGCGCUUGAUG
Molecule: long non-coding RNA, 726 nt
Organism: Silurus meridionalis
Lineage: Eukaryota; Metazoa; Chordata; Actinopteri; Siluriformes; Siluridae
Exons: 3
Source: RefSeq, a predicted model, not a curated record